UGGGGGGUGGCUCAGUAGUGGAGCACUGGCCUAGCAUGUAUGAGGCACUGGGUUCGAUUCUCAGCACCUCAU
Molecule: non-coding RNA, 72 nt
Organism: Ictidomys tridecemlineatus (thirteen-lined ground squirrel)
Lineage: Eukaryota; Metazoa; Chordata; Mammalia; Rodentia; Sciuridae
Source: Rfam